GACGAACGCUGGCGGCGUGCUUAACACAUGCAAGUCGAACGGAAAGGCCCUGCUUUUGUGGGGUGCUCGAGUGGCGAACGGGUGAGUAACACGUGAGUAACCUGCCCUUGACUUUGGGAUAACUUCAGGAAACUGGGGCUAAUACCGGAUAGGAGCUCCUGCUGCAUGGUGGGGGUUGGAAAGUUUCGGCGGUUGGGGAUGGACUCGCGGCUUAUCAGCUUGUUGGUGGGGUAGUGGCUUACCAAGGCUUUGACGGGUAGCCGGCCUGAGAGGGUGACCGGCGACAUAGGGACUGAGGGAAGGCACAGAUGCGUAAGGGAGGAAGAAGGGGGGAAGAUUGAACAAGGGGCGGAAGCCGGAUGAAGAAACGCCGCGUGCUGGAUGACGGCCUUGGGGUUGUAAAACGCUAGCGCGUGUGAAGAAGGGUGAGUGAAGGGAAUGGGUAAAGAAGCACCGGCUAAAUACGUG
Molecule: ribosomal RNA, 468 nt
Filed under: uncultured bacterium
Lineage: Bacteria
Description: partial 16S ribosomal RNA
Rfam family: Bacterial small subunit ribosomal RNA
Source: RNAcentral